Penaeus chinensis is the source of this 210-nucleotide long non-coding RNA. RefSeq lists it as uncharacterized. Lineage: Eukaryota; Metazoa; Arthropoda; Malacostraca; Decapoda; Penaeidae. The record is from RefSeq and is a predicted model, not a curated record. The transcript has 3 exons.
CCAAAACCCCUAACACGUUCUUGAUCUUGGCUUGUGGUCCCUACAAAACAGGAUUACCGAAGCUUGUUCUGCCAUACAUACAAAGCAGUUGGACCAUGGACAUCCGACACGGCACAGAACUACCAGGGUUGAAAGACGCGAUGAUGACUUACGUGUCUGGGCAGUUUUCCUUGUGUCGCCUGUGGUCCAGGUCCGGCGAGGCUCUGCUCC